CCUACGGGUGGCAGCAGUGAGGAAUAUUGGUCAAUGGGCGGGAGCCUGAACCAGCCAAGUCGCGUGAGGGAAGACGGUCCUAUGGAUUGUAAACCUCUUUAGGCGGGGAGCAAUGCCGGGCACGCGUGCCCGGAGGGAGAGUACCCGCAGAAUAAGCAUCGGCUAACUCCGUGCCAGCAGCCGCGGUAAUACGGAGGAUGCGAGCGUUAUCCGGAUUUAUGGGGUUUAAAGGGUGCGUAGGCGGAAUGCCAAGUCAGCGGUAAAAUCGCGGGGCUCAACCGCGCUCCGCCGUUGAAACUGGCGGUCUUGAGUGGGGGGGAGGUAAGCGGAAUGCGUGGUGUAGCGGUGAAAUGCAUAGAUAUCACGAAGAACUCCGAUUGCGAAGGCAGCUUACCGGCGCCCAACUGACGCUGAAGCACGAAAGCGUGGGUAUCGAACAGGAUUAGAUACCCGGGUAGUC
Molecule: ribosomal RNA, 460 nt
Filed under: uncultured bacterium
Lineage: Bacteria
Description: partial 16S ribosomal RNA
Rfam family: Bacterial small subunit ribosomal RNA
Source: RNAcentral